Molecule: ribosomal RNA, 440 nt
Filed under: uncultured bacterium
Lineage: Bacteria
Description: bacterial SSU rRNA
Rfam family: Bacterial small subunit ribosomal RNA
Source: RNAcentral
CCUACGGGGGGCAGCAGUGGGGAAUAUUGCACAAUGGGGGAAACCCUGAUGCAGCAACGCCGCGUGAGCGAUGAAGGCCUUAGGGUCGUAAAGCUCUGUCCUAAGGGAAGAAUACUGACGGUACCUUAGGAGGAAGCCCCGGCUAACUACGUGCCAGAAGCCGCGGUAAUACGUAGGGGGCUAGCGUUAGCCGGAAUUACGGGGCGUCAAGGGUGCGUAGGCGGCCCUACACGUCAGUGGUGAAAGACUACGGCUCAACCGUAGUAAGCCUUUGAAAUCGUAGGGCUUGAGUGCAGGAGAGGAGGGUGGAAUUCCCAGUGUAGCGGUGAAAUGCGUAGAUGUUGGGAGUAACACCAGUUGCGAAGGCGGCUGUCUGGACUGUAACUGACGCUGAGGCACGAAAGCGUUGGGAGCGAACAGGAUUAGAUACCCGUGUAGUC